This 59-nucleotide transfer RNA is filed under the name Bugula neritina. RNAcentral's name for it is "tRNA-Ser". Lineage: Eukaryota; Metazoa; Bryozoa; Gymnolaemata; Cheilostomatida; Bugulidae. The record is from RNAcentral.
GAACUAUAUAAACGUCUAAGCUUCUAACUUAGAAAAGCGAUUAACUUAUUGCAAGUUCU